This 227-nucleotide ribosomal RNA is filed under the name uncultured bacterium. Its description in RNAcentral is "partial 16S ribosomal RNA". It matches the Rfam family "Bacterial small subunit ribosomal RNA", at positions 524 to 750 of the family's 1533-position model. The record is from RNAcentral.
UACAGAGGGUGCAAGCGUUAAUCGGAAUUACUGGGCGUAAAGCGUGCGCAGACGGUUGCGUAAGUCAGAUGUGAAAGCCCCGGGCUCAACCUGGGAAUUGCAUUUGAGACUGCGUAGCUAGGGUGCGGAAGAGGGAAGCGGAAUUUCCGGUGUAGCGGUGAAAUGCGUAGAUAUCGGAAGGAACACCAGUGGCGAAGGCGGCCAACUGGACCAUUACUGACGCUGAG